Non-coding RNA from Peromyscus maniculatus bairdii (prairie deer mouse), 4424 nucleotides. The record is from RefSeq and is a predicted model, not a curated record. Lineage: Eukaryota; Metazoa; Chordata; Mammalia; Rodentia; Cricetidae.
AGGAACCAGAGAACUGAAGCCAUCCUAUUUGUCUCCAGCACGGGUGCAGGACAGCUGGCGGUCAGGGCUCAAGGAAGCAUGUCCUAUACCCUAUUCUGGAGAUGAUGGACUUCAGCAAGCAUCAAGGAAGAGAGAGAGUGUACCUGACAUAAGUCCAGGUGAAGAGAGGAAUGCUGAAGUCCCCUCGCUGACAAUCUAGAAACGAAGACAUUACCUUUCUACACUCACAUCUCUUGCUGAAAAUCCUAAAAGGCCAGGAGAUCACUUCACCUACAUCAAGUGCCUGGCUUCUUUGGCUCAGCAUAAUGUCACUCAUGUGAUGGCAAACAACAGGAGUUCCUUCUGUUUUUAAGACUGAAUAGUACGCUGCCCCACCUCUGAACGUCCACUGCAUAAGAGCAACAACCUCGUCAGCUACGUCAUAGAGCCUGGCAUCAGUGUCUGGUUCUAGGAAAGCACUCCAUGCCUGCCAUUGAAUGGACAGAUUCGUAGACGGGUAAAAUGCACUUGAGAAGCCGUCUGUCAAUGAGUUUAUUUCUGCAAGUGACAAGGCCAGAAACUAAAAGGAAAAAAGGCUUGCAGAAGGUCAGGUGGAACUUUUUGGGAAGCAUCGAGAGGUGUGGCCUUGUUGGAGGAGGAGUAUCACCAGGCGUGGGCUUUCAGGCUUCAAAAGCCUGUAUGGCUGCUUCCUGUUUGUGGAUCAGGAUGUGAGUUUUCAGCUGCUGCUCCAGCACCAUGCCUGCCCAACUGAUGACGAACUCCCUACAGCGAUGGUGAUGGACACUAUCUCUCUGCAACUGUUGUAGAAUCCCCAGAACAAUGCACUUCUUCUGGCCUGAGAGAAUGGGACAAAAUGCCUUAUGCCAAAUAUGGAAGCCCAUUUCCCUCUUUGGAGACUGAUUUGGGAAAAGGCAGGUGAUCCCAAUUCUGACCAAUAAGGCCACAGGAGCAGUCGGAGGGUAGAUUCUUCUUAGAGGUCUUUGCUUCUGUUAGCAAAAGCAAUUUGGUAAGUUCCUUCUCCCUGGUAUAUAUGGUGCCGCUUGAGAGCAUGGUUCUUGGAGCUACAGCACCACGUGACCAGACAAGCCAAAGGGCCAAGGGUGAAAUAGUAGAGACAUGAGUAGGGUGGCGGCUUGGUGAGAGGACUUGAAUUGCAAAGCAAUAUGGGAAAAUCUGCUUCUGGACUUUGUAUGGUUUGUGAGCCAAUUAAACACAUCUAUUGCUUUAACCACUGUGUCUUUUAUAUUUCUUGUCACCAGAGGCAUUGUGUGUUAUAGACACAAUUCAAUUUGUGCUGUAAUUUAUUAGUGUUGCACCUGCAGAUUCUAUUUGAAUGAUUUCAGUAUUCCUCGAACUGAGUAAUCUCAGCACUUAGUAAGGCUUCCAGAAAGAAAUGAAAGACUUGUUCAGAAAUACAAACUUCGGAAGUUGCUGAAACAUGAAAAUCAGGAUCCAGGUUCUGUAUGACAUCUGGUUGCAUCACUACCAGUUUGGUCCUGCCUAUGACAAAAGGAUGAAUGAAAAACACUAUGGAGUGUGAUACUACAUAAUAAAAACACAUGGCAUCAUCUGCCAAUAAAUAAAUAUAUAUAUGACCAUUGAGAAUGCUUAGAAGUUAUCACCAUCCACAUGGAGGUCAGUGUUCCUGAGUUAAAUCAUGCAUGCAGCCAUGGAAUAUUUAAAGUGCUUUUGACCUAGAAAACACAGGCCCAUGUUUUUAAGCAUUUAGCAGACAUUUCUUUAACAUCUUCCAUCUACCAGGCAUUUCCCAAUGCAGUAGGGAAAAAAGAUGGGCAGCUAUGAAACCUCUGUCCAGUGAAGAUUCAUGGCACCCAAACAGGAUGAAUAGCCCACGAGAAGACAUCCACAUGUCUCAGGUUCCGUCUGUUAGCAGAGCAUGGCACUGCCACUGUGCUAACUAAGAAAACAAGAUUCUCAGAUAUCCCUCCUUGAUGAAAUGAUGUCCAUGAGAACUUCCCCUGCUCAAUCUUCCUUACCUGAGUUUGUUUGGGGGAGCUACUUUCUGCUGUUAUUACCCUUGCUCCCUAAUAUUCACCCCUUUGCCCAGCUCCAGAGGCAUCUGCUUACCAGACUACCAGAACAGCUACCUCAAGAGAAAAGCAACUUUGAAAACUGGUGGAGUUUUUUGUUUGUUUGUUUGUUUUGUUGUAGUUGUUGUUGUUGUUUGUAUAUGGAUGUUAAGUAGAGCCACGCUUUACUACAAAUGAGGAAAUACAAAUCAAAUACAAAUAAGCCUCAUUCACCUUCUUUCUAACUGAACUCAUCAACAUCAUGGACAAACCAGCCUCAAGGUUACAACUCAGUCCCAUGGAAUGCAAACGCCCAAAGGCAGCAAACUUCGUGCUCUUAAUUUUGCCUCAAGUCUGCCCAAAGUAAACACUGCUGAACCUAGUUUUCCUGUUUCUUUUGGAAAACGUGAGCUUCCUUCUGUCUCCUACACAUCUUCUUUAGACACUUAGACACUUGGACCCUACCUUCUGCUGGUGGCUCCAGCUGUGGUUUUUCUUCUUUGGGAGGCCUAGAAGCCGGAGCCUAACUGUGUGGGACUAAAUCCCAGCUUCUCCACUUACAGAUCUAAGAUUCAGCUGAAUGUCAGUGCGUAUGACUCAGUUUGUGUACAUAGAUGAUGGACUUCACCCACCUUUCCUCCAGGACUUCCUGUUUAAUCAGCUUGUAUCACUGGGCUGACCUCCGUGGUCAUUGCGCACACAGACUCAUGUUUGUGAACCCACAGCUUGUCCACAUGCUACUCAAGACUUGGUCUGCAUCUUGGUUUAUGCUCUCUGUGACAGUUAGGAGACUGUCACCUUGCUAUCUUUGGCCUUUUCUGUACAUUUGUUAUGCUUCAAUGAAACACCUAGAAUUGUUGGCCAGUUUUGUUAAACCUACAGAGCUGGACAAGGCUGACUUUCUCACUCUGGUAUCUUUUUCUUUCUCUAUAGGUCAAAGCGAUCCUGGGAGCCCACAAGAAAUGAUCACUCAGACACAGUUUAUAGCCAAUUGAAAGUCUUUAUUCCUGCUGGCUGGGACUACACUCAGCACUCCUCCUGGUCUUGUUUGGAUUUCUUGGUCUUUGAGGGAAUUCGGAAUUGCUUUAUUAUGCACUACAUCCUCAGAACGCCUUCUCUGGAAAAAUGUACACUUCACCGAAACAAAUUGUGGGCCCUUUACACAGAGAGAAUGGAAGGAAUCGAGAGUGCUGUUGGCUGGAGUGGGUGGGCACAGGGAACCCGCUCUCAUCCACAGACCUACUGGGCACCCCAUCUUCACAAGCCCUGUUGUGACUCUCAGCGCUGUUUGCUUCUUGAGUGUUAUUUGCUGUUUCUUUGGUGCUAAUGACUGCAAAUUGCUAAUGGCUGUGUAAAGCUAAUUGUUUUGCAAGGUGUUUCUCUCUGUCCUGAUUGUUGGGGAGCACACAGUCACAGUUAAGCAGAGACUCAUUAGCGCCUCUGACAUGGUGCUCUUGGGGAAUCCUCACAGGCUGGCGAAUAACCAAGCCUCCACUGACCCAGAGCCAGGAGGCUUGUGCCUGGCUGGCAAAGCAAAGCAGAGGAGAGGGGUCUAGGAAGCAGUUAUAAUGCGGUGCACUUUGGAGGAAGAACCUGAGCAACAGAAAGGCUCCUCUCUGCAGGCAAGUCUCCUAAAAUGAUACCAAUGUACUAAUCGGACCAAGCUGGCAAGGUGCUUUAUGGCUAUUUUUCUUCUGAGGGGAAUAAUAAGACUCAAAGAAUAAAUGAUUUCCCCACAAACUCGUUUAUUCAAGGGACUAGUGUCUAAGUUUCUUGUUUGUUUGAUCUGUUUUUGUUAUCAAGAUAGAAUCUCACUACGUAGCUCAGGCAGAAAGCUAACUCACCAUAUAGCUCAGGCUGGACCAGCUUCCCAAGGAUGAAAUGACUGCUGCCUGUAUCACUCUUCAAGGUCUAGAGACUGGACUCUUACCCACUAAAGAAUAACACUUCUUGGAAACUCAUGGGCCAACCUGAGGGCUUAUCCCCCCCCCUCUCUCUCUCUCUCUCUGUGUGUGUGUGUGUGUGUGUGUGUGUGUGUGUGUGUGUGUGUGUGUAUGCAAGUUCUUGCACACAUGGGAAAAUACUGAUUAAGGUAGAAAAUAUCAGAACACUAGCUUUGAUUCAUUAUAGCCCAUGAUUUUCUCAAGAACACUGGGCUGGUUACAAAGCAGAGAACCAACAAGAGAAGCCUAUACUAAUUGCACUAGUUGAUGAAUAUUCCUUUCUGCUGCAUUCCUGUCUGGAAGGCACAGUAUCUCCACUACUUCCACUGAAGUCCUGUAUUCUGGACAACCCGUGUAAAAACAGCAAGAACUAGGGUUACCUCUCACUGCUCUGUCUGUUGACGUGAGUGCAGCAAUGGAUUCUUUAGCUAAAGUGAGGGGCAAUAAUGCU